GUCCUAGCCGUAAACGAUGGAUGCUAGGUGUUGGAGGACUUAACCCCUCCUGUGCCGAAGCUAACGCGUUAAGCAUCCCGCCUGGGAAGUACGAUCGCAAGAUUAAAACUCAAAGGAAUUGACGGGGACCCGCACAAGCAGCGGAGCGUGUGGUUUAAUUCGAUGCUACACGAAGAACCUUACCCAGGUUUGACAUCCCGUGAAUCCCGCCGAAAGGGGGGAGUGCCGCAAGGGAGCACGGAGACAGGUGUUGCAUGGCUGUCGU
RNAcentral lists this ribosomal RNA (265 nucleotides) under uncultured bacterium. RNAcentral's name for it is "partial 16S ribosomal RNA". It matches the Rfam family "Bacterial small subunit ribosomal RNA", at positions 793 to 1055 of the family's 1533-position model. The record is from RNAcentral.